RNAcentral lists this ribosomal RNA (422 nucleotides) under bacterium Ellin629. RNAcentral describes it as "bacterial SSU rRNA". It matches the Rfam family "Bacterial small subunit ribosomal RNA", at positions 32 to 482 of the family's 1533-position model. Lineage: Bacteria; Pseudomonadati; Acidobacteriota; Terriglobia; Terriglobales; Acidobacteriaceae. The record is from RNAcentral.
AAUCAACGCUGGCGGCGUGCCUAACACAUGCAAGUCGAACGAGAAAGGGUAGCAAUACCUGAGUAAAGUGGCGCACGGGUGAGUAACACGUGACUAACCUACCCUGGAGUGGGGGAUAACUGAGGGAAACCUUAGCUAAUACCGCAUAACACCUACGGGUCAAAGGAGCAAUUCGCUUCAGGAGGGGGUCGCGGCCGAUUAGUUAGUUGGCGGGGUAAUGGCCCACCAAGACUGUGAUCGGUAUCCGGCCUGAGAGGGCGCACGGACACACUGGAACUGAAACACGGUCCAGACUCCUACGGGAGGCAGCAGUGGGGAAUUUUGCGCAAUGGGGGAAACCCUGACGCAGCAACGCCGCGUGGAGGAUGAAGUACUUCGGUACGUAAACUCCUUUCGAUCGGGACGAUUAUGACGGUACCGGA